RNAcentral lists this ribosomal RNA (251 nucleotides) under uncultured bacterium. Its description in RNAcentral is "partial 16S ribosomal RNA". It matches the Rfam family "Bacterial small subunit ribosomal RNA", at positions 82 to 334 of the family's 1533-position model. The record is from RNAcentral.
CUAUUGAUGGCGACCGGCGGACGGGUGCGUAACGCGUAUGCAACCUACCCUUUACAGGGGGAUAACACUGAGAAAUCGGUACUAAUACCCCAUAAUAUUCUGGGAGGCAUCUUUCGGAGUUGAAAGCUUUGGUGGUAAAGGAUGGGCAUGCGUUGUAUUAGCUAGUUGGUAAGGUAACGGCUUACCAAGGCGACGAUACAUAGGGGGACUGAGAGGUUAACCCCCCACAUUGGUACUGAGACACGGACCAA